Triticum aestivum (bread wheat) is the source of this 2042-nucleotide long non-coding RNA. RefSeq lists it as uncharacterized. The transcript has 2 exons. The record is from RefSeq and is a predicted model, not a curated record. Lineage: Eukaryota; Viridiplantae; Streptophyta; Magnoliopsida; Poales; Poaceae.
CUGCCAUCGCUCCGCCUCCUCCCUCCGGUUCCAUCCAUCCAUUGGCUGUCGCGCGCGUCACGCGGAUCGCCAUCCCAUCCGACGACUCUGCACGCUCGUUGUUGGCCAAGUCUUCUCUAUAAAUGUACGGCCCUUUGCUCUGUGUUGACCCUUGAUCUGUUGCUCGUGCCCCACAAGUUCCCCUCCUCUGUUCCUUCAACCAAGCGCCACCACCACCACCCCUUGUUUCUCCCCACAACAUGUCGAGGGUUGCUCGGCCGGUGAGCGGCACCAAGUUCCUGUCUCGGCGAGCGGCCACGUCCGGCCAUAAUCGUUGUGGUUGCUGCCUAGCACUAGAUGAGAUGCUGACACCAAGUCGCGGGACAACAGCGAAAAAUCCGCACACUAGGCGAGAUAUGGAUGGAGUAUGUUCCUGCAAGGGUGCCGACGGGUGUUUGUUUCGGAAGAUUCAGCACAAACUAGUACAAGCAAAGGUUAGUACGGAAGUAAUGUAUGCAUCAUUGUUUCGGUUUUCCAAUGCUUCCUUCUUUGCAUUGGUAAAGAUGUUUUUGCAUUUGCCACAUGUCUUGAUCUUAGAGUUGUAGACUUAUUCAGUACUAGUUUCAAUAGUUGUAAAACAACACAACAGUGUAGUGUCAUGCAGAUGUAGUAUUAAUCAGAUCCUCAAAUACAGCAUGCAAAUUCUAGUGGUGAUUGAUGUCUGAAAAGCAUCUCUUUAGGUCUUGCUUUGGUUCAUUACCUCGGUUCAUUAUUGUUCUAUAUUGCACAAAUGGUGCAGGUCCUAUAUCAGCAUAUUUCCUACUUAACUUGCUAUCAUCUAUGUUUCGAUCAAAUUCUCCAUCCCCUUGUAUUUACCUAACCAGCUAAUUAGUUUUGUCCUCUGAAUCCUGUGAUAGACCACGUAAUAUAUACAUCGGAAAAGGGAAAGGAAAAUAUAGAUGAGCGGAGCUGGAUGAUCUUAUAAAUAAACAAUAUACGUUGAUGCCACAAAGAAUUUACUACUGCUUCCAUCAGUAUGUGUUUUUCCUGCUCUAUUGACAAAAGAUUUCUUGGAAAAGACUGGUUGAAUGGUUAUAGUAGUAAUCUUGGGCCCAAUACACAUUCUGCAGUGAGGAUGACACGGCAAAGAAGUCUAAGUCAGCUGAUCUAGAGAUGUAGUGCAACUUAUGUGUCAAUCACUUUUAUAUUUUAGUGAAGGAAAAUGGUUGGACCUUGGAUAGAUGACACGUCUGGUAUUGAUUCAACAGUGAUUGCUUGAUAUAGGCAAUGUAUUUGUUCCUGCAAAACAUCAUCUCUUGAAUGUUUUCUUAAUGUUGAAUUCCUCCACUAAUAAUGUAGUGUUGUUGUGGGUGCAUUCCGUUCCGAUGCGUUAUGCUGCCGAAAUUUCUAGCCGAAAAUGUAUGAAGGUUGCAAAAACUUUUACAACAACAUAACAUAGCUGAAAACAAUAAGUUUAAUCACUAUGACCCUUCAUUAAGGUUUAUUAAAAGUCCUUCAGUAAUUUUAAAUGUCUAAAUGACACUUUUUUUGCGGGUGUAAAUUAUACUUGUUUUUAGGCAAUGCUUUCACAUUCCAGGAUUUUAUCUAGAUUCAUUACAACUGCAGUUGCCUUCUAACACAAGCUUGUUAAUGUUUCCUUUUUUUUUUCAUUUGUCAUCUUUUUUUGCGGUCAGAUAUGCGCAAGUAAUCGGACACUAGCUUGGCCUAUCUUGAUGGUACCAAACUGCACUCUAGAACACUAGCUAGCUCUAUUAGGUAUCUCUUUGGUGGUAUUAUUACAACAUUUUGUGUCGUCCCUUUGGCUUGUCUUUUUUUUUUAUCUUUGGUAUUGCUUAAUGAGCUUUCUUUUGUUGCUUUGACGAUGUGGUAGAAUGCCAUGAGAGGUAGUUGCUGUAUAUUGCAUGAGGGAAGACGUUGAGCUUCUAUUUUUCCUUCACGUGUAAAUUGACCUCUUAAUGUGUGCAUUCUUGUAAUGGCAUGUAGUGGUUGCCCCAACUUGCGCUCGAAAUAAAAAACCUCCCCAACGCGUUAUGCUGCCGAAA